GAAAUAUGAUAAACGGGUUAAGGUUAGGGAAAUAUGAUAAACGGGUUAAGGUUAGGGAAAUAUGAUAAACGGGUUAAGGUUAGGGAAAUAUGAUAAACGGGUUAAGGUUAGGGAAAUAUGAUAAACGGGUUAAGGUUA
Pecten maximus is the source of this 138-nucleotide long non-coding RNA. RefSeq lists it as uncharacterized. The transcript has 3 exons. The record is from RefSeq and is a predicted model, not a curated record. NCBI's taxonomy places the organism in Eukaryota, Metazoa, Mollusca, Bivalvia, Pectinida, Pectinidae.